Molecule: long non-coding RNA, 3284 nt
Filed under: Fragaria vesca (wild strawberry)
Lineage: Eukaryota; Viridiplantae; Streptophyta; Magnoliopsida; Rosales; Rosaceae
Description: long non-coding RNA (FVES_LNC000799)
Source: RNAcentral
UACACUUUCUCUCCUCAUUAUGUUUACACAUAAAGUGCGGUGCAGAAUCAUCAAGAAAUGAGUGUGUAGAAACCAUCUCAGGCCUACAACUUUGUAUACAAAGUUUGAUAAUUCAACCUUGAGAAAAAGAUCUAUAGCCUUCUACAAUCAUAUAUGUUUAAAUUGUCAACCAGAAAGAACUCUCUCUAAAUCUUUGCAUAUGAUAUAACCUAUACAUGUUGAUUUAAAUGAAGGUAAGAGAAACACACCCAGGAAGUCGAUUAUGAGUCUUCCAUCAGAGAAUCUUCCGGCUGACAUAUGGAAAUAGGUCUCUCCAUAAGGUGCGGGUAAUGGUGGAAAGGCUGCAACCAGUCCACCAGUAUCUGAAUUCGAGUCUCCGAAGUUGAAGAUGGCUGGAAACUCGCAGUCUUUCAAAGCCAAUGUAGUGGUCACAGUACUACCGGUAGUAAGCAAUAUAAGCAUAUAGGAGCAAAACAGAGAAAUAACUACUCCAGUAGAGUACACCAUGGUCGAGAUUGGAGAAAGACCAAAAGAUGCAGAUUAGAACUAAGCUGUGUUUGUUGUAUAUAGUGUAAUGAAAGGUGCAAUUUCCUUCAAUUGUACUUCUCGGAGGCAUUUUCUUGUGUCAACGCCGUAUUGUUUAAGGCGUUGGCUGAAACGCAUAAAGCAACAAGAUGACCAAGAACCUCUGAACAGACAUGCCGAUGGCGAUGGCGAUGAGAACUAAUUAAGCUGCAUGUGUGUUGGUACAAAAAUUGUUGGCUAUCCCUUUAUGAUCAAAACACAAGGAUACAUGCUACAUGUUGUAGCCUGGUAGCAAGGACUGCUAAAGUGAAGUAUGAAGAAUCUGACAGAUCUCAUGUGCAUCAGGUAGUUCAUACAUGUUGUAGCCUGGUAGCAAGGACUGCUAAAGUGAAGUAUGAAGAAUUUGACAGAUCUCAUGUGCAUCAGGUAGUUCAUACAUGUUGUAGCCUGGUAGCAAGGACUGCUAAAGUGAAGUAUGAAGAAUCUGACAGAUCUCAUGUGCAUCAGGUAGUUCAUACAUGUGCAUCUCAUUCACUAAGGAUGGCAGCCGUGCUUGCCAUCCGGAUUAGACGGAUACCCCUGUUGUAUCUGUUCUAUCUACUGGGUCUGACCAUGUGCAUAUUCAAAUGUGUUUUUAAGUGUUUGAAUUUCAAAUACCUUUAGCAAAACAUUAGUCUAUUCGUGCUUGAGCUCCAAGUUAGUCUAGGGUGGUGUGGCAAACCAACCCGUGACCACAUAACUUGAGCCUUUGGGAACCAGCUGGGUUUUGUGAUACACAAACCAAGUUAGUAGCUGCCCAUGUGAUGCACCGCCUAAGCUAUCAGCUGUCCUAAGUGUCCUCUUAGGUAAAGUGGUUUUGUAGAGCCUUUAUGCUUGACUAAAUCUGAUCUAGUUUUUCCAAAACCUUUUGUCUUAUCCUUUUGGCUUUAGUCUUUCAUAGGAAAGUCUAUUCUCAGCUUUUGUCUUGUGAGUGGAGGGAUCCCUAGGGUCCUAUCUGUCCUAGUAUUUCAGACAAGCAGCUAGAGUCCAAAAGAACCUUGUUGAUGUGGCAAACGUGCUUGCUUCCUCAUAGCUGUGCACUUUGCCUAUAAAUAGAGAGCAAGACCUCUCUUGCUCUUUGGUUGUUGAAAAUAGUCUUGUUUGUUUUCUUCCAUUGAGUCUAGCAUUUGCUAACUGCCCAUAUAUCUCUAAGUCUUCCCUGUGAUUGUCAAUCUUAGAGCUGAGCACCAAAAUCUUUUCAAACUCAUAUCAUUGUGCAUUUGCAUACCUUGAGAUCUGUCUAGGUGAUGCAACAACCCCGGCGAAGCUGUCUUUGAGAAUUAGCUAAAGGUGUUAGUUGAAUUCUGCAUAGAAGCUUAGAUUCGUGUUAUGUGUAAAACACUUGAGUGACAAGAGAGCAAGUUUUAGUUGAGUGCUAGGAGUUAGACUAGGCAGUAUGGCUAGGUGUUGUGUCAUCCUCUGAGUUGUGAGUAUUGUAAGAAGUGUCUUUACAAUAGUGGAAUAGUUUGUCUCUCAAGAGUUUGAGGCACGCAGUUUUCUCCCUGGUUGCAGGGUUUAUGCGUAUAAAAACGUACUGGUGUUAUAUCUUUACUUUCAGUACUUGUCUUUUUAUUUACAUAACUUAGUCUCACAGCAAACAUGAUAGCACAAUCUUUGCUAUCCUUGUGUGCGGGAUAGAGACGAAAAAGUUGUCAGGGCCUAUUCACCCCCCCCCCCCCCUUCUAGGACCUUCAAUGUGUUUCUAGAACAGUGUUCAUUUGGUCAAAUUUUCGCCGACCACGUGUGGACGACUAUCACCGAGCUACUGCAGCCACAGAACAUUAGUCAAUGUCUCAUCCUACUUCGAUAAUUUCAUUUUCAGGCUCAAACGUAUGGCUUCCAUUACUUACCUCUCAGUUUACAGUGAACUCUCUCUUCAGAGAUUGUGAAUUAAUCUUCUGUUGUAAAACAAAAGUAAAAGAGUGAGAAAGGAGAGAAACAACCAACAGAAUGAGAGAAUAUAUGUGUAUUAUUGAGUAGGGAACCAUUGCUUAUAUAGAGAUGAGGCCAUGAUGUAAAUUACAAUAACAACCCUAGUCGGCUAAUUACAAGAAUGUCCACUAAGUAAUAACUAUUUACAACACUCCCCCUUGUUAUUCUCUGUCAUUAGCUUUCCCUAAUAUGUGCUUCGGUGUUACCUCGUCAACCAGUAAUAAAAACCCUAUGGGACAAAAACAAUCCUGGUUGAAGGAGAAAAUAAUACAACGCACAAGUAGCAGUGAUAGUCAGAACCCUUGAUUUCGGUGAAGCGGUUUAAUCUAGAUCAUAAGAUGUGAGUUUGUGGGAGAUAGAUGCAUAAUAGUUGCUACACCAAAACCUUGCCCGGUAAACCCAGUGGGAUAAACCCGUGGUCGAAGGGAAAAGAUGAGCAAAUGCAUAUAUUUCAAAUAAAGGCAUCUUCAAGAUGCAACAUGAGAAAGGUGACCAAUUACAUAUGUGCCUCAUUAAAACCUUGUCAGGUAACAAACCCAGUUGAACAAAAUAACCCUGGACGAAGGACAAAAAGAGUACACAAUAGUCAAGAGUAUGCUUCAGGAUACUCCCCCUAAUAUUAACUCCCCCUGAAAACUACACGCUAGGUAAAACUACUACAUUGAUUAUGCUUCUUGAAUAACUUAAUAGUCAGCAUAAUUUAAAAAGUAACGGAAAAUUUAACUUAACCUUUCCGUUGACUGAACCAACAAAGAUUUGGCUUCCAUUGACUGUGAUUGUUGUUCCAC